CCGCCACAAAUACAGAGAAUCCACUGUUCGCACGGACAAAGUCUCCCCUGUAUUUUCACGGCGUCGUACAAGUACAAGAUACAACCACAUACAUAUGAAUAUCCACAUACAUAUACCACAUCACAUUCACAUACAUUAAUUCACGGAUAUUCACAUAUCUACAUCUAUUAGUUUAAAAUAUUUUCUACCCGGAAAUCAUUUUGAAAUGCUAAGUCAUGAAAACCAAGAAAACCUUUUUAAAACCGUUUUCUACACGGAAACCUUUUUCUUUUUAAAACAUGCUACCACGAGGGUAGAAAGCCAUUUUUAACUCAUAAAACUCCGUAAACUUUAUUACAUUCAUAAAAGCAUAUGAAUCCAAUUAAAGUAAACCACUGAAUCAUAACGUCUAUGUCAUUUAUUUAAG
Molecule: long non-coding RNA, 406 nt
Filed under: Ananas comosus (pineapple)
Lineage: Eukaryota; Viridiplantae; Streptophyta; Magnoliopsida; Poales; Bromeliaceae
Description: long non-coding RNA (ACOM_LNC039757)
Source: RNAcentral